This 437-nucleotide long non-coding RNA is filed under the name Pan troglodytes (chimpanzee). RNAcentral describes it as "long non-coding RNA NONPTRT009953". The record is from RNAcentral. Lineage: Eukaryota; Metazoa; Chordata; Mammalia; Primates; Hominidae.
GUUUAAGAGGCUGGGGAUGGGUAAGAAGUCAAGAAGGUUUCGGUUGGAUUUCUCAACAACAGGUCAUUGGCCUGGAGCCCGUCCAGUGGGUAAAAUGCCGUGAUGCAACAGCUUUCAGGAAGGCCUCCAGAAAUGAGCUCUAGGUCAGUGGGUUGGGUUUAGGUGCAGGCACACCCUGGAACUGUCACUCUAGAGUUGUUACUAACCUCCUCUUUCCCCAGAUCUGACUCAGCAGGGUUGGCUGUUCCAGCUCCAAAGAGAAGGAGGAACCUUUUCCUUCCGCAGCCCCUCCCCACCAGCCUCAUUCCUUAGCUGGGGUCAGACCUGGGGUCCUCACUGCAGCUGGCCUCUGGCAGCAUUCUCAGGCUAGCCCUCCCUGCUGAAAAGAGAACCGUGUGGGACUCACAGGCCCCUUCUGCCUUCCACCUUCCUGUUCC